AAUCGUCAGUUUGUCAACUUUAAGAAGACAUCUCAGAUCAAUGCGUUUGUUCAGGUGUAAAGAGAAGUCUAAGCUGCUGAACGUUGCUGUUUCUCCAAGAUCAACUAAACCAGUACGGUUUCAAGGUCUGAGUUUCCCUCUGUACUGAGAUUAUAACCCUAACCUAAUCCAAUAAACAAAUAAAACAUGUGUCCGUUCACUUUGAAAACAGAAAUAAACAAAAAUUAAUUCAUUUUUUUAGCAAAAAUUUAUUUUUCAGUAGUGCGCUCCAUGGAUACAAAAUGAUGCAUCUGAAAUGCAUUAAUUUCAAGCUGGAUAUGUAAAAUAAGAUUUAUUUCACUUGUGAAAACAGAAACUUUACUCAUAAAAACAGAAACUUUGUUAUUCAAGUGAAUGCAAUAAGCUUCCGUACUGUGCCUUUAGUUUUUAACUAUGACCGUUUUUUAGUCACAGAUUGAGACUGGACACUCAGCACUCCUCCAUGUAAUAACUCCUCUACUUCUUCCCAACCUAAACUCUUAAAUCCCAGGAAUCCUCUCGUGAGGCUCACUCAGCACUAACAGGUCAGCAAACCGGAACACACCUACAUAGCUUCUUCUUCUUCUUCCCCACCCCACACACUCACACACACACACACACACACACACACACACACACACACAGUUCUUUCAUCUUCUCAUAGAGCUCACAGUGUUCACUCGUGUUCCAAUAUAAGCAGUUCUUUAGCAUCUUUUCUCCAUUGAUCACUAUUUCUUUGACUUUUCCUUGACUCAUUUAGUUUUGUUCAUUAUUAUCUGUAUAUUUCUGUCUCUGAGUGUAUUUUUCUGAGCAUCGAUGGAGCUUUUUCAAGAAGGCACCUAUCGUCCCACUGGGGUGCUGUUCGACACUCCUGUUUAUAGACAGAUUUUUCAGAACUGUUGGCAUAUGCCCUCUUACAAAGUUCAUGUAGCUAUGGUGGCUGAGCUCCUGAGGUUACAGAAGGAGAACCAACUUCUGUCUGAGGUGACUCCUGAAGACAUGGCUCGACACCUCCAUGUAAUGAGCAAACGCAGUCUAAGGGUGCAGCUGCUGGACUUUCAGCUGCAGGAGUACGAUGAUGAUGAUGAUGAGGUUAGGAUGCUUCUCAGCAUGGCGAGGGAGGUCAACGACAGCAUGAGGAUGAGGGAUAUUCAGCUGGAUGCUCAAAGGCUGAUCAGCGCUCCAGAGCUCAUGCCUCCAAACUUUAUAUCAGCAAAGAUGAUGAAAGAGGCAAAGGCCAUUGGGGAGGCGCUCACUGAGAGGCAUCAGCA
This 1289-nucleotide long non-coding RNA is filed under the name Gouania willdenowi (blunt-snouted clingfish). RNAcentral describes it as "lncRNA (ENSGWIG00000017790.1)". Lineage: Eukaryota; Metazoa; Chordata; Actinopteri; Blenniiformes; Gobiesocidae. The record is from RNAcentral.